AUUGAACGCUGGCGGCAGGCCUAACACAUGCAAGUCGAGCGGAUGAAGGGAGCUUGCUCCUGGAUUCAGCGGCGGACGGGUGAGUAAUGCCUAGGAAUCUGCCUGGUAGUGGGGGAUAACGUCCGGAAGCGGGCGCUAAUACCGCAUACGUCCUGAGGGAGAAAGUGGGGGAUCUUCGGACCUCACGCUAUCAGAUGAGCCUAGGUCGGAUUAGCUAGUUGGUGGGGUAAAGGCCUACCAAGGCGACGAUCCGUAACUGGUCUGAGAGGAUGAUCAGUCACACUGGAACUGAGACACGGUCCAGACUCCUACGGGAGGCAGCAGUGGGGAAUAUUGGACAAUGGGCGAAAGCCUGAUCCAGCCACGCCGCGUGUGUGAAGAAGGUCCUCGGAUUGUAAAGCACUUUAAGUUGGGAGGAAGGGCAGUAAGUUAAUACCUUGCUGUUUUGACGUUACCAACAGAAUAAGCACCGGCUAACUUCGUG
This 484-nucleotide ribosomal RNA is filed under the name uncultured bacterium. Its description in RNAcentral is "partial 16S ribosomal RNA". It matches the Rfam family "Bacterial small subunit ribosomal RNA", at positions 30 to 507 of the family's 1533-position model. The record is from RNAcentral.